UAGCAUUAAAUGCCUAUGAUUGAUUGAUGCUUUUGACGAGAAGCUUUAGCCGUAUGGAUGAGGCCAUGUACACUUUAAUCCCAUGGCCGACAUCCAUCAUAUUUUGCUAUAAAAGCUCACACAAUGUGUCAUUCCAAAGGUGAUGCAAGUUUAAACUCUCAAACACAAUUUGCUAUAUUUAUUGUUAUUAUCACAAUUUUUUCCAAAAUUGACCCCCUUUUUAUAUUAGAGACUCGUGUCUAAAGCACCUUCUAUACCCAUAUACACUACUUCAAUUGCUUGGCCGUUGGAGUGCGCAUGGCCAACUUCACUACCCAGGGAGAAGGCAACAUAUGAUUAGUGGUUUGUCGAAGUGUGCAGAAAUCAGACUUACAUAGACAUGGGAAGCCUUGAUAUCUGUUGACUAUGUUGGAGGUAGAAAAUUUGAGGUCAAAGAUUGACAUCGUUUGUGGGAAACACACUAGUGUGUCAAACUCCACCCUUGAAGAAAGGUAUCUGUUCUUGAAGAAAGGACAAGUGACGGUGCUAUUUGAAGUGUUGAUACACAAAUCGUUAGUAUACCAUGAAGAAGAAGUCCUUUGAACCAAUGAAAAUAUUUGUAGACCCCACCACCAACACCGUUAAGGAGGUGGCAUUACUGCAUGCCUUGCAAGAAAUCUUGAAGAAAUGGCUGCCAACAUGAGAAAUAUUGCCUAACAAAAUACUGACGUGCAAUAAUUACUUAAGCUAAUGUAGGGACAGGCUAGCAUCAAAUGCCUCAGCAAAAUGUUUUUCAACAAGAUGAGGAGGGACAUAGCCAGAGGGCUUACCCUCUAAGGGGCAGAAAAUGUCUCUCCAAAAUACGCAUAGGAGCAUGGAUCCAUAUAAUGCACGUUUGGUAUUCAAUAGUACUAGACUCUAUCGUUAACAAGAUUUUACUUCUUUUUUCGGUCAAUACUAUUGAGUACUAUUUGGCUCCCUCUGUACUUGGCCGUAGUUCCAUUGUACAAGGAGGUAAUGUAUGAUAUCAUCACUAUUUAAGUAUGGC
Molecule: long non-coding RNA, 1027 nt
Filed under: Olea europaea (common olive)
Lineage: Eukaryota; Viridiplantae; Streptophyta; Magnoliopsida; Lamiales; Oleaceae
Description: long non-coding RNA (OEUR_LNC013720)
Source: RNAcentral